This 253-nucleotide ribosomal RNA is filed under the name uncultured bacterium. Its description in RNAcentral is "partial 16S ribosomal RNA". It matches the Rfam family "Bacterial small subunit ribosomal RNA", at positions 524 to 776 of the family's 1533-position model. The record is from RNAcentral.
UACAGAGGGGGCAAGCGUUGUUCGGAAUUACUGGGCGUAAAGGGCGCGUAGGCGGCCUUCUAAGUCGAACGUGAAAUCCCCGGGCUCAACCCGGGAACUGCGUCCGAUACUGGAAGGCUUGAAUCCGGGAGAGGGAUGUGGAAUUCCAGGUGUAGCGGUGAAAUGCGUAGAUAUCUGGAGGAACACCAAUAGCGAAGGCAGCUCGCUGGGACGGUACUGACGCUGAGGCGCGAAAGCGUGGGGAGCGAACAGG